Molecule: transfer RNA, 76 nt
Filed under: Candidatus Muproteobacteria bacterium RBG_16_65_31
Lineage: Bacteria; Pseudomonadati; Pseudomonadota; Candidatus Muproteobacteria
Description: tRNA-Glu
Rfam family: tRNA
About the family: Transfer RNA (tRNA) molecules are approximately 80 nucleotides in length.
Source: RNAcentral
GUCCCCAUCGUCUAGAGGCCUAGGACACUGCCCUUUCACGGCGGCGACAGGAGUUCGAAUCUCCUUGGGGACGCCC